GCAGGCAUUGUGGAGAACCUAGAGUUUGUUCAAACGUCAAAGACUCCCAGAUCAUCCACUGUAUCUCAGGUCACCACCAAUCACCCUGACUUUUGUCUUGCCACUGGACUUUGAUGACUGAGAGUGAGGCUGAUAGUUUUAUGGAUCUCUGACUCACUUAAAUCCUAUUCACCUGAACGUCAAGAUGUCACUCCAUGAUGUUAGUGGUCCUCUUUGAAAACUAAGGGAAAAUGACAAACAACAACCUUUUUGCCAAACUGGCUUGCUUGCUGUUUCCUGUCAGUGUCCCACCAUCUCGCAUCUUCCUGCUUUUUCAGAGCUCAACAUUUCCAACUUUUUCAACUGAUCUUUCUAUUGCUGGUCUGGAGACAUUUGGGGGCUGACCCUAGGAGCUUUUGUACCAUGCUUCUGGCUCAUUACAGCAGCCCUCCCCCUAUGAGGGGUGAUGGAUUUACCCUGUUGCCUGGAGACCGGAUUCAAACAGAGACCCAGAGAGAGCACCUGGGCGCUGGCUCUGGAGGGGUUAAGAACGAGUCCUGGAGCGGAUAACGGAGCUGAAUAACCCCAACAAAGUGAAGCCUCAGCUCGAGCUGGAGGGAGAUGACAGGAAGAAGAAGGCAGCAUCUGCGGACCCUUUCCCCAGGCAGGACUUACCUUCUGCCCCAGUGCUCAGGCUGCCUCCUGCUGGAUUAAUAUUUCUCAACAUAUAAUUAAAUUUGUUUUUGUGAUUAAUCACUAUGUUUAAAUUAUGUUUGAUUUGUAGCAAUGAGAAUACAUAAUGCAUAUCAGAUAUUUACAUUCUUAAUCAUAACUGUAUCAAAAUUACAGUUUUGAAGUAGCCACCAAAAUAAUUUUUUGGUUUGGGUUCACUGCAGCAUGAGGAACUAUAUUUCAGGGUCAUGGCAUUAAAAAGGUUGAGAACCACUGCUCUAGAUCAUCCCCUAAACCCCUAACCUCAAUGAAAUUGCCUCAUUUCUAAUUCCCCUUUUUCUUGUCCAGUAACCCCUCUGUGAAAGGGGCAUAAAAUCCCCUUACCCCAU
Molecule: long non-coding RNA, 1040 nt
Filed under: Monodelphis domestica (gray short-tailed opossum)
Lineage: Eukaryota; Metazoa; Chordata; Mammalia; Didelphimorphia; Didelphidae
Description: lncRNA (ENSMODG00000033810.2)
Source: RNAcentral